Molecule: long non-coding RNA, 2205 nt
Organism: Hippocampus zosterae (dwarf seahorse)
Lineage: Eukaryota; Metazoa; Chordata; Actinopteri; Syngnathiformes; Syngnathidae
Exons: 2
Source: RefSeq, a predicted model, not a curated record
UAGUCCGGUGGUUAGCACGUCGGCUUCACAGUGCAGAGGUACCGGGUUCGAUUCCAGCUCCGGCCUCCCUGUGUGGAGUUUGCAUGUUCUCCCCGGGCCUGCGUGGGUUUUCUCCGGGUGCUCCGGUUUCCUCCCACAUUCCAAAAACAUGCGUGGCAGGCUGAUUGAACACUCUAAAUUGUCCCUAGGUGUGAAUGUGAGCGUGGGUGGUUGUUCGUCUCUGUGUGCCCUGCGAUUGGCUGGCAACUGAUUCAGGGUGUCCCCCGCCUACUGCCCGAAGAAGGCUGGGAUAGGCUCCAGCGCCCCCCGUGACCCUAGUGAGGAUUAAGCGGUUCGGAAAAUGGAUGGAAUGGAUUCUCCUAACUGAACUUUUUUUUUCCCUCACAUGUAUGCCAUGAGUGAGCAUGUGCGUUAGCGCAGCGCGGGAAUGGAAUGUACAAAUACGCUUUUGAAGGAGAAACAGUAUUAGCUUGUUAAGAGUUGCAUCACAUUUAUUUUAUUGUAUACGAUUGAUACUUUUCUUUCUGAAGUUUUGAGUCAUUGUAAUAAAAAAAGGGGGGGGUGGGAGAGAGGGGGCAAGUAUACGCUUUGAUAUCGUGUCAUGAUUUCUAAAUAGGAAAUAAAGAACAUACAUCGGCUAGCGCAGAUGCUAUAAAAAUAAGUGAUUCGUCCUAAAAAUAAAAUAAAAACAGCUUAUUUGCCAAUGUAAAACGGAGGUCUCUUCUCUAUGAAGGCCACCAUUCCCUCCUGUCUGUCCCGUGUCGGGAUGACCUGAAAUAAGUCGACACACCCGCCAUCUUUAUUAGGUACACCUACGCAAGCAAACGAGAGCCAACACAAGAGCUCAACUCCGCACACAAGUGGAGUCAUCGUUUACCUGAGCGUAGCACAUCCUCUCGAUGGCCAUCGCUGAGGUGAUGUCAACCUAGCCAAGAGUCAAAUGUCAGUCACGGCACCAAAUUGGUAUAAAAUGGCAACAAUACGAAACAACUUGGUUACCUCCAGGCCUCUGUUCAUCGCCUCUUUGGCCAUCCGCACAGCGACGGGAGCCUGAAGGACGGUUUGAUAAGUUGACUCAAGUCAAACAAAAUGAUUCAAUCUCAUUCUCAUCACAAAAGGAGCUAAUUCUGUACAUGGAAACAAUAAAAACUUGGAUUCAUGAAAAAAAACACACAAUUUGCAUCUCUGUUCACUUGAGGAGCGGACAUAGCGUCAAGCAGGAAUUGCCAGAAUCAACGUUAGUUGACAAAAAGUUGAAAUGUAGUCAAAUGAAAGAAUGUGGCAAAAAAUGUCCAUCAAAAGUCAAACGCAUUGAAUUUUACACCUAUCUUGACAAUAGAAUUUCAAACUGAAUAUUUUGUGGACAAAAUAUCCCUCAAAAGUCAAGGAAUGUAAACUUCAACAUUUUCGAAAUCAAAGCAACUGGAAUUUUCAUCUAUAAUUUUCUAAAGUACAUUCAUACGAAUUUUAAACAAAUGAUUCAUGAAGAAAUAUCCUUAAAAAUAUAUUUCAAAAGGCAAAUAAUUUCAAUUUAGAAAUUAAGCAAAAAUUCAAACAAACCAUUUGAAUUUUCAACCAAAAUUCUGGAAAAAUAUUCAACUGAAAACCAAACUUUGAAAUUGACUUUCUUGAAAUCAAAAGUAACCAUGUGUCGCCUCCUUGUGGCAUCUACAGGCAACUACAAACCAUUUUGUAAGGACAUCAAUUACUCUUUUUCUGUGGCAAGACACGGUCUCUAUCUCUUGGAUAGUUGUGAAUGACUAAUUGAAUUGAAAAUAUUGUUUAUUCUGUAAAAUAUUUGUAUUUUCUACAUAUUUUAACUGGAUUCACAGUACGGCAUAUUAUAGUACACUCGUAUGUUUGCAACGGUUGGCCCAUUUCUCCACUCCGCUGCCACCGUGACCCUGCCGACUGCAGGCGUCUGAGCUGGAGUAGAAGAAAUACGGAACGACAGAAGCCCGCAGAGCAAGAUUGCGAGGAGUGGAAAAAAUGGCUAAAUUGAAGGAGGAUUUAAUGGUCUGAGAAGGAGAAGGUGGAGGCAGACCUGGGGCAGGAUCUCUCUGGCCAGGGCGAGCGCUUCCGCGUACGCCGCCUCUCCCGUCUGGUCCUGCUCAAUGGCUCUGUUCACCAGGCCCAUCUCGGCGGCCGCCUGCCCCCCCACGCACCUUCCUGCCAGGAAAAAUAAAUGAAUGAAUAAAUAUAGAU